This 1452-nucleotide long non-coding RNA is filed under the name Ornithorhynchus anatinus (platypus). RNAcentral describes it as "lncRNA (ENSOANG00000049712.1)". Lineage: Eukaryota; Metazoa; Chordata; Mammalia; Monotremata; Ornithorhynchidae. The record is from RNAcentral.
GAUCGCCAAGGACGCCGGCCUUUUACGUCCGUGGUCUCUUCCCAGACGCCCGGCGGGGCAGGCGGGGUGGAGUUGGGUGAGCUCCCAGGGCGGCGGUCUACACCCGGUAGGGUGUCGGGGCGGCGUACGCCUAGUAGGCCUCCGGUCCGGCGCUCUGCACCCAGCAGGCUCCCAGCGUGGUGUCGUGUACGCGGUGGGCGUGCGGGAUUGCAACACCUGCCGCACCCGGGGGGGGGGGGUUGGGCGGUCCGUGCCGCCUCACUGGAGGGCGGGUCGGUGAAGAGAGCACUUCCUCCUGGUUUCCGGGAACCUCUCUCCCCUAGACACGUCCAAAACCGCACUCCCCAUUUUCCCUCCCAAACCCCCGUCUUUCCCGUCGCCUCUGGCUCGCAGGUCCGUCGCCUUGGCGUCGUCCUCCGCCGCGUUCCCUCCCGCUCGACCCACGUACCGGACGUCGCCGAAUCCCGUCGGUUUUCCCUCUCCCGGCUUCCCUCACGUCCACCCUUUCCCCUCCACCCCGACCGCUUCCAUGGCGACCCGGGCACUUAUCCCGUCCCGCCCCCCGCCUCUCCCCGGUGCCGUCUGUACGCUUGGCUCUGCCUCCCGGCUCCUCUUUCCGAAAAACAAAAGUCUCCCCGCUGCCCGAGAACCUCCGGGAGUUGCCCGUCCGCCUCCACGUCAAAGGGAAGCUCCUCACCGUCGGCUUUAAACCGCGGUACGUCGCCUCCCUGCCUUCCCGCUGCGGCCCGGAAGACUCGGGUCACUCCCCGGACCCCGAUUUACUCUCUGUCCCUCCAUCUCGUCGGCCUCGCGGCCCUCGCUUACGUCCCCCCCCCCCAGCCUGGAACCCGCUCCCUCUCCACCUUCAGGGGCUUUUUAAAAACCACAUCUCCUCCAAGAGGCCUUCCCGGUCGGGCUCUCCUCCGAAUCCCUCUCCCCUCUGCGCCGUCCGUGCGUUCGGAAACCGCUUACCGUCCGCCCCGCCCUCAACCCGCCGUUCAUUUUUAUCACCGGGUCCCCCCCGCCCCCCAGACUCGAAGCUUUCUCCGGGCCGGGCACGCGGCCGCCGACCCUCUCCGAAACGCUCAGCGCGGCGCUCGGCGGUCGGUGUUCGAUAGAGGCCGCCGAUGGAUCGACCGGUCGUACGGAGAGGGGAGAGUCGGGGGUGUCGGACGGUCCGGGCCGGGUCGCUGGGGCACCGGGGGGGGGGGCGGGCGGGCGGCGUCGGACGGUCCGACCGUCGACCGCGGGGGCGGUCGCCCGGGCCGCGGUCCUUCCCGGCUCCCCGGUGACCUCGGGAGCGCGCGCGCGCGCUCGGGCACCCGUCCCGUCGCCCCGCCGGGGAUCGGAAGACACCUCGUCGGAUCCGCCGGCUCCCGGAGACCCGACCCUUCACGGGUCCCGCCGGGCACAACGCAAAUAUUUGUUGGGCCCGGCCCGGUUAAUCAGUAA